This 1925-nucleotide long non-coding RNA is filed under the name Cicer arietinum (chickpea). RNAcentral's name for it is "long non-coding RNA (CARI_LNC003657)". The record is from RNAcentral. Lineage: Eukaryota; Viridiplantae; Streptophyta; Magnoliopsida; Fabales; Fabaceae.
CUGUCCUCAGCACCCGAAUCAUUCCUAUCUGAAUCUCCAUCCGCCGCAUUUGAAUCAGAGUACGGAGGUGCGGCAGGUGGUAUCGUAAUCGUAUAAGAAAAUCAAGGUUUCAUUUCACAUUCAUCCCCCUCUCUUUUCUUUUGAAUGGACAGAUAAUAAGUUAUUAAGGCAAGGAAGUCACUUCUUGCACAGAUUACCCGCUACGCUCUUUGCUUUAUGGCUUACAGGAGUACUUGACUAGCCUGCUUGACUGAUCUUACAGUUCUCGACUCAGCAGGGGGUAAUUAUGCUUAACACAGGGAGUUCGGACUUUGCAAACAUUCAACUGAAAGAAGGGAUUGGGAGAGGGGAUAAAGGGAUUAGGCGAAGGGGAAGUUAUUGCUAACGAUGGUAUUCAUAUCGCUGAGUUGGAACACGAAGCAAGCUUUUGGAUUAAGUGAAGGCGUGAGGUAUCGAACACAAGCUAAGGGUUAGUAAAGUGGCUCAGGUAUAGAAAGUUACCUACUACAAAGAGUACCAUAGCAAUGAAGAGAUAGAGAUCGUCUAUGGAUAAGGUUGAGCUAAGCGAGGUAGAGUAGACUUUACAGACUCUGGAUGAUCCUAUGCUUAAUACACUCUCCAAUUCAAGUGAGAUGCCGAAGGCAAAGUACUUUAAGAAGGGAAGAGCUUGGCCUAGAAUGAGCAAGGGAUAGAGAUGAUGGUAUGAAUGCAUUCAUCAACAGAAGUUUCAUCCUCGGAUUCCCACCUACCCACUCGCCUCCAAGACUUUCUUACCUCUCCUAGAAUGGAGGUAGAGCGAGAUUCAGUCUUCGAGAAGCCCUUAUGAUGAUGGGCGUGAUCCAUAGCCGAUGUUGGCUAUAAGCAGUAUCAGUUGAAGCUAUGGAGCACCCCUUCCAGUUUCAGAUCGAUAUUGAGUUCCAUAUCCUGUUACAGAUAUUCCAGAUGUAGAGACAGAUCCAAAGCCAUUUGAUCGAGAUCGAGUAGCUAUAGCAGAUCCAUUUAGAGAUCGGAACCCGGGUACACCCAUUUUAGUAGAAACUGCCCCUAAGCCGGUAGGUCUCGUUCAAAAGCCACUUUAGUUGAUGUGUCCCAAUCCAUGUGCUCGGUAAUGAUGUUGUCAUCGCUGAUGCGCAAGUUGCUGAAGUUUAUUUUAAGUGUCUUCAGAAAUUAGGAGUUCAAAACUUAAAAAUAUCUUAUUUCUUACACAGGUGCAUUUGAGUUUGCUAAGCGCUUUUGUUUGCGUCAAGGGUGGAUUUUUCUGCCAUGUCUGCUCGUUGUUUGCUUGCUUACCAUCAUCCAUAUGGUCUGAUGGCUAUAUGUAAAUAAUUUCCAUUCAUUACGAAGGUUCUCUACCUUAGUAAGGAUAGGUGGUGGAGUGGGUCCUUGCCAAACUCAGUCAUACAAGAUCUCGUCACUUUGAGCGGGUUCUUGCUAUGUACACCAAGCCUCGGGUCGGGGUCACAAUGACUAUCCAUUAGAAUUGUGGCUUGGCAGAGUGAGCUCAUUCGCUUUGGUCUUCUCUGGAAGAUCUAUGAUUUGGUAGCAGAGAAGGGUGUAGCUUGGAGCCGCCAUGUCAUCAAGAAAACCUCCCUGGAGCUUGGUCAUCCCAGAUGAGCUGAGCUACGAAGUUUGGCAUUCGUGAGGACGCAGCCGUGUCAGAAAGGGCAUUCUCGCUUAUCUGUAUAUGAGAAUUGGGUCACCGCGGCAGAGCUUCAAUCGAAAUAGUGAUUCUUUGGCCAGGUUUGCUUAUCCAACCCUCGAGUUUAAGGCAUCUCAUUAGGUCCCGAAGAGACCAGACCUUGGGAAGGCAUCACUUAUGCUAGAAGGCUUCACAGCCCUCCUUACUAGCAGCCCAGAUCUGUUUUGUGCUCGGCUUGAUGCCAUCUCAGAUGUCCAUUCAAGUAGCCUGCCUACCCUAUUUUAUC